UGUUGGAAACAUGACCAUGAAGUCCAC
Molecule: non-coding RNA, 27 nt
Filed under: Rattus norvegicus (Norway rat)
Lineage: Eukaryota; Metazoa; Chordata; Mammalia; Rodentia; Muridae
Source: RNAcentral